RNAcentral lists this unclassified non-coding RNA (660 nucleotides) under Hevea brasiliensis (rubber tree). Lineage: Eukaryota; Viridiplantae; Streptophyta; Magnoliopsida; Malpighiales; Euphorbiaceae. The record is from RNAcentral.
UGGAUAGGAAUGAUUUGAAAUGAAGAUAUUUGGAUUUAACUUUUAGUGUAAAUCAAAAUAUGUAAGCUUUCUUUUGGUUGGUAACAUUUCUUAACAGAGAAUACAAGUGAAUCACAACUUGUUCAUUUGAAAUAAUUUAUGGCAAAUAAUUUCAAAUUUGUCUUCUUCUCCUCCUUUACUACUUGAACAGAAAGCUCAUAUUCAAACCUUGAAUUUCAAAACCAAUCUUCUUAGAAAAGGAGAAGGAAAUAAAAAUACUUGACAGUAGCUUCCUCAAGCAUUUUAAACUGGUACACUUCUAUGUCUGUCCAUAUUAUAAGCAACCCAAAAAAAAAGAGUAAAAUACAAAAUCAUCGAAUAAUCCGGUCAUAGAAAGAUAUGCUCAUGUUCCAGCCUUUUCAACUAUAGAGACAAAAAGUCACCCUAAUGCUGCUAAGGACAUAAAAAUUCCAUUUCUUUCUAUGAAACAAAUAAACUCUUAUUAGCUUUCAUCUAAAGUGCAGUAAAUUCAGAUUGAGGUUUCAAGAUCUUAACUCUGCUCAAUGACCAGAAAACUCAACUUGAACUUAAAAAGCUAGCAACAAAAUAUUAUGCAUUGGAUUGAAAUUAAUCCUUUAGAGAAUCUGAAUAAAGAAAACUAAAAAUAUAACUUGAUUGAAU